GGUUUGACGGUACCUUUAAAGGAAGCACCGGCUAACUCCGUGCCAGCAGCCGCGGUAAUACGGGGGGUGCAAGCGUUGUUCGGAAUUAUUGGGCGUAAAGCGCGUGUAGGCGGUCUGAUUAGUCUGAUGUGAGAGCCCUGGGCUCAACCCAGGAAGUGCAUUGGAUACUGUCAGACUUGAAUACGGGAGGGGGUAGUGGAAUUCCUAGUGUAGGAGUGAAAUCCGCAGAUAUUAGGAGGAACACCGGUGGCGAAGGCGGCUACCUGGACCGAUAUUGACGCUGAGACGCGAAAGCGUGGGUAGCAAACAGGAUUAGAUACCCUGGUAGUCCACGCCGUAAACGAUGAGAACUAGGUGUCGCGGGUA
Molecule: ribosomal RNA, 366 nt
Filed under: uncultured Geobacteraceae bacterium
Lineage: Bacteria; Pseudomonadati; Thermodesulfobacteriota; Desulfuromonadia; Geobacterales; Geobacteraceae
Description: bacterial SSU rRNA
Rfam family: Bacterial small subunit ribosomal RNA
Source: RNAcentral